Long non-coding RNA from Sciurus carolinensis (gray squirrel), 2522 nucleotides. RefSeq lists it as uncharacterized. The transcript has 6 exons. NCBI's taxonomy places the organism in Eukaryota, Metazoa, Chordata, Mammalia, Rodentia, Sciuridae. The record is from RefSeq and is a predicted model, not a curated record.
AACAACCUUGGGGAAUGGGUUCCAGUCUUCACUUGGAUGUAUGUGCUAAAAUACCAGAGUGGAAUACUCAGAAAGAAGCAGGCCUGUGAGGACACAGUGAUAAGACAGCUGUCUACAAGCCAGGAAGAGGGGGUCUCACCAGAAACCAACCUUGAUUCCACCUGGAUCUGGGACUCGUAGCCUCCAGAAUGGUGACAAAAUGGGCCUCAGUUUCUCCAUCUGUGGAUGGCAGUUUUGGAUUAGAUCCGGCAUGGGAAAUUUACCUGGCACGUUGAUCAAGACCACUCAGAGACUGGCUCUGGGGACGAACCAGAGGAAGGAAUGGAAGGAUGGAUCAUCAGUCUCUGCCAAGAUGAUGGCAUUGAGGCUCCAUUGGAGUCCCAGCGGCUUGGGAGGCUGAGGCAGGAGGAUUGUGAGUUCAAAGCCAGCCUCAGAAAAAGUCUCUCAUCCUUAAAAUACUCCCUGUCUUUACCAAAGGCAGGCUUGUUUGAACAGCAGAACAUCAUGGUGCUUUUACAAAUGCUGUGGAAAAAACUGAAUUUCUCAAAUUUGUUAACUUUUUCAUUUAAAAGGUACUCUGAGAUAAGGAAAUUGACAUUCAGAGAGGUUGACUGACUGAAUCAAGGUGACAUGGAGGCAGAGUUGAUACAUGAAUCCAGCUGAGGUGGAAUUUUGGCAGAGGCUUUGGAGCAGCUGUUCAAAUCUGCUAAAACAGCUCACUCAACGCAAAUAUGCAUUGUUUUAAAUUUCUGCUCCUCUGUGGUUUAGUAUAAGCUUCUAUAUAGGAGUAUUUACUUAGGAGAAUUCAGGAGAGGUGUUAGGGAGAGCUAGUAGGAUUAAAUGAGAUGGAAAGAAGAUUGAUGGGUCAUGUUGGAAGGACAAGAUGCCAUGGCCAGGGCCCCUUCCUGAUUUCAGAUGAAAGGAUCUCAAGUCUUUUCUUCUUGGGGUUUCUUUCCUUUCCACUUCCUGCCUUCAGUAUUCUCUAGGGUCAUCUCUUUAUAGCUUGGCUUUAACUUGCAAAAUACUAGUUGAAAUCAUGUUGAGGACUGGGGGUGUAGCUCAGUGGUAGAACUGUUGCCUAGCAUGUGUGAGGCCCUGGGUUUGAACUGAAACAAACCAACCCACCACAUGGAUGAAAGUGGAAGAUACUAUCCAAACAGGAACUAAUUUUUGCGUGGAAGGCUGAAGUGCCUGUUCCAGUGUUAAGCACAUGGACUCUGGCAUCAAAUCCAAGCUCUACCAUUUACUAGCUAUGUGGCUUUGGACAAGGUACUUAUCCUAAGUCUUUGCUGUUAUGUUUCUAAAAUGGCGAGAGUAAUAGUUGCCUCUCACAGGACUGUUGAAAAGAACAAGUAUUUCUUAUAGUGCGUACUUUGGUACUUGGUGCACUGUUCAGUAUGACUUUUAUCAAUUCAAAGACAGUUGGUUCAUCUAGGGGAUAGGGGAUAACUAUAUGAACUUCUAGAGGUUUCUCUGUGCCCUACACUGGAGUCUAUGAGGAGAUUGGAGUCCACCCACUCACACACCCACGAGAGUGGCACAGCACUCUCAGGUAAUUCUAACGCUGUGCUCUUAGUAAUUUACUGGUUAAGUAGUAAAUUAAUAGCAUUACUUUGGCAUUUUAAUCAAUAGGAUUAAGAUGAUCUGAUGGUUAACAGAGUAGUAAUUGCUGCUACACAGAUGGAUGUUGUCCAGUGGAAAACCUGCUCUUCAUGAGCUGGCUGGCUGCCCUCAGACAAGAUUCUUUCCACCCUUUAAGAAAACAACAUUUUCCUCUGAUGACUAAAGCAAUAAAAGCACAUUGAAAAAACACAAUGAAGUUCAAUUAAAAAAUAAAACCCACUUGGAAAUUCCAUUAUCCAGAUACCUACUGUUAACAUACUGGUAGAUUUUUUUUUAGGUUUAUUUUUUCCCUCUGUAGAUCAUAAUCAGUUUUGCUUCCUUCAUUUUCAAAACCAAAGGUUCUGAGUGAGCAUUUCUUCUCAUUAUUAAACCUUUAGAAACACGGUUUUAAAUUGCUACAUAUGCUGUGUGUGGCUGCUUUAGCAUUCAUUUAGCUAUCCCCCUAUGGAUGGCCAUUUAUACUAUUUUCAAUUUUUUAGCUGUUAUAAAUUAUGCUGUGAAGAACCCCCUUGGUGACAAGCCUCUGUUCAUGUCCUAGAAGCAAAAGUGCUGAGUCAAAGGGUAGAAAUAUUUCUGAAGCAGAAGGGCUCUACCAGUGUAAAAGAGCCCCUCCCAUCCCCCAGGACCAGCAACUUGGCUGAAAAUUGAAAAUAAAUUCUUCAUAGUGCCGAGAUUGUUAUAGGCAAGGGCCAAAGGUAGUGGUGAGUAGUGAAAGUUAAAAGAAGGAAGGUGACUGCUUCUACAUUUCCCAUUUCCCCCCACUGACUCAUAUUGCCCUUGGAGCCAUAGACCUUGGGACAUGCUAGGGGCAGAUGGGGCUGUUUUUGUGACAGGUUGUUCAGAAACCCAGUGUUGCUUGCCCUGUACUUCUCUGGGUAUUAAAUGGCUUUGCCGUUGUC